This 262-nucleotide ribosomal RNA is filed under the name uncultured bacterium. Its description in RNAcentral is "partial 16S ribosomal RNA". It matches the Rfam family "Bacterial small subunit ribosomal RNA", at positions 333 to 609 of the family's 1533-position model. The record is from RNAcentral.
UUACCCCUACGGGGGGCAGCAGUGGGGAAUAUUGGGCAAUGGGCGCAAGCCUGACCCAGCAACGCCGCGUGAAGGAAGAAGGCUUUCGGGUUGUAAACUUCUUUUGUCAGGGACGAAGCAAGUGACGGUACCUGACGAAUAAGCCACGGCUAACUACGUGCCAGCAGCCACGGUAAUACGUAGGCGGCAAGCGUUAUCCGGAUUUACUGGGUGUAAAGGGCGUGUAGGCGGGGAAGCAAGUCAGAUGUGAAAACCACGGGCU